RNAcentral lists this ribosomal RNA (491 nucleotides) under Brettanomyces bruxellensis. RNAcentral describes it as "eukaryotic LSU rRNA". It matches the Rfam family "Eukaryotic large subunit ribosomal RNA", at positions 139 to 641 of the family's 3401-position model. The record is from RNAcentral. Lineage: Eukaryota; Fungi; Ascomycota; Pichiomycetes; Pichiales; Pichiaceae.
GGAGUUGUAAUUUGAAGUGGCUCUUUAGGGAGUUUUGUUUUUGGCUGCGGAAGUGCCUUGGAACAGAACCGCCGUGGAGGGUGAGAGCCCCGUAUCGUGGCCAGCAAGAUUUUCGUAUAAGGGCUAGCGAAGAGUCGAGUUGUUUGGGAAUGCAGCUCUAAGUGGGUGGUAUAUUCCAUCUAAGGCUAAAUAUGGGCGAGAGACCGAUAGCAAACAAGUACAGUGAUGGAAAGAUGAAAAGAACUUUGAAAAGAGAGUGAAAAAGUACGUGAAAUUGUUGAAAGGGAAGGGUAUUUGAUCCGACAUGGUAUUUAGAUGUCGCUUGCCCCCGUGGCGGGCGCUCCAUCUUUUUACUGGGCCAGCAUCGGUGCUGGGCGGGACAGGAGGUUUCUGUGAAUGUAGCCCUUCGGGGAACUUAUAGAACAGGAUUCAUACGUCUCUCCCCGGUACCGAGGACUGCGGGAAACCAAGGAUGCUGGCAUAACGAGCAA